CUUCAAGUUACCUUAGGGAUAACAGCGUAAUAAUUUUGGAAAGUUCUUAUUGAUAAAAUAGUUUGCGACCUCGAUGUUGGAUUAGGAUUCUUUUUUGGUGAAGAAGUUAAAAAAAGAAGUUUGUUCAACUUUUAAAUUCCUACAUGAUCUGAGUUCAGACCGGCGGGAGCCAGGUUGGUUUCUAUCUUAAAAUUUACAAAAAUUUUUAUAGUACGAAAGGAAUUGGAAAUGUUAAUUAAUUUAAUUUGAUAAUAGUAAAUAUUUU
RNAcentral lists this ribosomal RNA (265 nucleotides) under Ixodes loricatus. RNAcentral describes it as "partial large rRNA subunit". The stretch from base 1 to 187 matches the Rfam family "Bacterial large subunit ribosomal RNA", at positions 2456 to 2643 of the family's 2925-position model. Lineage: Eukaryota; Metazoa; Arthropoda; Arachnida; Ixodida; Ixodidae. The record is from RNAcentral.